This 92-nucleotide ribosomal RNA is filed under the name Mustela putorius furo (domestic ferret). Lineage: Eukaryota; Metazoa; Chordata; Mammalia; Carnivora; Mustelidae. The record is from RNAcentral.
AUUUCUGGCCAUACCACCCUGAACGCGCCCGAUCUCGUCUGAUCUCAGAAGCUAAGCAGGGUCGGGCCUGGUUAGUACUUGGAUGAGAAAUA